Molecule: ribosomal RNA, 494 nt
Filed under: uncultured bacterium
Lineage: Bacteria
Description: partial 16S ribosomal RNA
Rfam family: Bacterial small subunit ribosomal RNA
Source: RNAcentral
GACGAACGCUGGCGGCGUGCCUAAUACAUGCAAGUCGAACGCUGAAGGAGUAGCUUGCUGUUCUGGAUGAGUUGCGAACGGGUGAGUAACGCGUAGGUAACCUGCCUGGUAGUGGGGGAUAACUACAGGAAACGAUAGCUAAUACCGCAUAACAGUAGAUGUUGCAUGACAUUUACUGAAAAGGUGCAGUUGCAUCACUACCAGAUGGACCUGCGUUGUAUUAGCUUGUUGGGGGGGUAACGGCUCACCUAGGCGACGAUACAUAGCCGACCUGAGAGGGUGAUCGGCCACACUGGAACUGAGACACGGCCCAGACGCCUACGGGAGGCAGCAGUAGGGAAUCUGCGGCAAUGGUCGGAAGUCUGACCCAGCAACGCGGCGUGAGUGAAGGAGGCUUUCGGUUCGGAAAGCUCUGUUGUAGGUUAAGAACCGCUGUGGGCGGUGAAGGAGCGCGCGUGGACGUAAUCUGACCAGAAGGAGACGGUUACUUACUU